CUCCUACGGGAGGCAGCAGUGGGGAAUUUUGGACAAUGGGCGCAAGCCUGAUCCAGCCAUGCCGCGUGAGUGAAGAAGGCCUUCGGGUUGUAAAGCUCUUUCAGUUGGGAAGAAACGAUUGCAACUAAUAAUCGUAAUUAAUGACGGUACCGACAGAAGAAGCACCGGCUAACUACGUGCCAGCGCCGCGGUAA
RNAcentral lists this ribosomal RNA (194 nucleotides) under uncultured Nitrosomonas sp. RNAcentral describes it as "partial 16S ribosomal RNA". It matches the Rfam family "Bacterial small subunit ribosomal RNA", at positions 336 to 523 of the family's 1533-position model. The record is from RNAcentral. Lineage: Bacteria; Pseudomonadati; Pseudomonadota; Betaproteobacteria; Nitrosomonadales; Nitrosomonadaceae.